Molecule: long non-coding RNA, 636 nt
Organism: Suricata suricatta (meerkat)
Lineage: Eukaryota; Metazoa; Chordata; Mammalia; Carnivora; Herpestidae
Exons: 2
Source: RefSeq, a predicted model, not a curated record
ACAAAUGACACCAUGUCUUUGAACACUGUGUUGAACAACCAGAAUGGUGCUGAAAAAUAGAAUUUAGAGAUUGGAACCAUCUACAGCCAUCUAGUCCAAAGCUCCACAAGUCCUUGAGGCUCUGUUCAGUCUAGCAAGAUAAAAGGCUUUUGGACAAUAGCUACUUCAUACCCUUGAAUACCACUGAAGAGAGCUGUGGCCCCCAGGUCCACUCCCACUGGCAAAGGUCGAGUGGGAAGCCUGGACUUCCAAAUUUACCGGGCUGUAAUGAAGAAUCCUAACUACCUGCUGUACCCGCCUUCCCACCUGCGAUUACUGAAUGGGCUCCCCGACUUUCAUGCUUGAUGGGCAGUAACAGAGCCCCACCCCUAGCUGCAGAGUCGGAGAAGACUGCCUGAGGAGCCAUGACUUCCAUUUUCACCCAAGCUGUCCUGAGUCACCACACCUCCUGCUGGAGAAGCUAGGAGAGUCGGGACUUCUAGCACCGCCUGGUGGUGAUGAGCUCAUCCCCACUCCGGUGGCAGCAGUGGACAGAGCAGUAACAAGGCAUUCCUCCUCCUCCAAGCCAGGGUGCUAGCACCGCAACCUAGAGGGCAGCUGGAAUUCCCACUCCCACAAAUACUGCCACCAACGCUA